This 497-nucleotide ribosomal RNA is filed under the name uncultured bacterium. RNAcentral describes it as "partial 16S ribosomal RNA". It matches the Rfam family "Bacterial small subunit ribosomal RNA", at positions 28 to 507 of the family's 1533-position model. The record is from RNAcentral.
GACGAACGCUGGCGGCGUGCCUAAUACAUGCAAGUUGAGCGCUGAAGGUUGGUACUUGUACCAAUUUGAAGAGCAGCGAACGGGUGAGUAACGCGUGGGGAAUCUGCCUUUGAGCGGGGGACAACCUUUGGAAACGAAUGCUAAUACCGCAUAACAACUUUAAACAUAAGUUUUAAGUUUGAAAGAUGCAAUUGCAUCACUCAAAGAUGAUCCCGCGUUGUAUUAGCUAGUUGGUGAGGUAAAGGCUCACCAAGGCGAUGAUACAUAGCCGACCUGAGAGGGUGAUCGGCCACAUUGGGACUGAGACACGGCCCAAACGCCUACGGGAGGCAGCAGUAGGGAAACGUCGGCAAUGGACGAAAGUCUGACCGAGCAACGCCGCGGGAGGGAAGAAGGUUUUCGGAUCGUAAAACUCGGUUGGUAGAGAAGAACGUUGGUGAGAGUGGAAAGCUCAUCAAGUGACGGUAACUACCCAGAAAGGGACGGCUAACUACGUG